This 1084-nucleotide ribosomal RNA is filed under the name Bacillus sp. JCR-3. RNAcentral describes it as "bacterial SSU rRNA". It matches the Rfam family "Bacterial small subunit ribosomal RNA", at positions 434 to 1495 of the family's 1533-position model. The record is from RNAcentral. Lineage: Bacteria; Bacillati; Bacillota; Bacilli; Caryophanales; Bacillaceae.
UGUGGUUAAGGAGGAACCAAGUGGUAGAGGUAAAUGCUCUGCCCAAACCGGUACUAAACCCGCAAAGCCAGGCAAGACUCCGCUGCCACCAUCCCCGCGUAAAGCGUAGAGUGGCAAGCACUGGUCCAGAAAUUAUUGAGAGUAAAGGGGUCGAAGCCGGAUUUCCUUAAGUGUAGAUGUGAAAGCCCCCCGGCUCAACCGGGGAGGGUCAUUGGAAAACUGGGAAACUUGAGGGCAGAAGAGGAGAGUGGGAAUUCCACGUGUAGCGGUGAAAUGCGUAGAGAUGUGGAGGAACACCAGUGGCGAAGGCGACUCUCUGGUCUGUAACUGACGCUGAGGAGCGAAAGCGUGGGGAGCGAACAGGAUUAGAUACCCUGGUAGUCCACGCCGUAAACGAUGAGUGCUAAGUGUUAGGGGGUUUCCGCCCCUUAGUGCUGCAGCUAACGCAUUAAGCACUCCGCCUGGGGAGUACGGUCGCAAGACUGAAACUCAAAGGAAUUGACGGGGGCCCGCACAAGCGGUGGAGCAUGUGGUUUAAUUAGAAGCAACGCGAAGAACCUUACCAGGUCUUGACAUCCUCUGACAACCCUAGAGAUAGGGCUUUCCCUUCGGGGACAGAGUGACAGGUGGUGCAUGGUUGUCGUCAGCUCGUGUCGUGAGAUGUUGGGUUAAGUCCCGCAACGAGCGCAACCCUUGAUCUUAGUUGCCAGCAUUUAGUUGGGCACUCUAAGGUGACUGCCGGUGACAAACCGGAGGAAGGUGGGGAUGACGUCAAAUCAUCAUGCCCCUUAUGACCUGGGCUACACACGUGCUACAAUGGACAGAACAAAGGGCUGCAAGACCGCAAGGUUUAGCCAAUCCCAUAAAUCUGUUCUCAGUUCGGAUCGCAGUCUGCAACUCGACUGCGUGAAGCUGGAAUCGCUAGUAAUCGCGGAUCAGCAUGCCGCGGUGAAUACGUUCCCGGGCCUUGUACACACCGCCCGUCACACCACGAGAGUUUGCAACACCCGAAGUCGGUGAGGUAACCUUUAUGGAGCCAGCCGCCGAAGGUGGGGCAGAUGAUUGGGGUGAAGUCGUAAGCAAG